GAAUAUUUCGUACAUAGAACUUAUAUAUACCCAUAAUUGGAUGGGCGUUUCUACCAACUACCGUAAUAGUUGCCUAUAAGUUUUCACUGGCUAUGC
This 96-nucleotide non-coding RNA is filed under the name Lactonifactor longoviformis. Its description in RNAcentral is "Guanine sequence". It matches the Rfam family "Purine riboswitch aptamer". From Rfam's summary of the family: Riboswitches are metabolite binding domains within certain messenger RNAs that serve as precision sensors for their corresponding targets. Allosteric rearrangement of mRNA structure is mediated by ligand binding, and this results in modulation of gene expression. RNAcentral also lists the same sequence under 1 other name. Lineage: Bacteria; Bacillati; Bacillota; Clostridia; Eubacteriales; Clostridiaceae. The record is from RNAcentral.